CCUACGGGAGGCAGCAGUGAGGAAUAUUGGUCAAUGGCCGUAAGGCUGAACCAGCCAAGUCGCGUGAAGGAAGAAGGAUCUAUGGUUUGUAAACUUCUUUUAUAGGGGAAUAAAGGUAUCCACGUGUGGAUAUUUGCAUGUACCCUAUGAAUACGCUUCGGCUAACUCCGUGCCAGCAGCCCCGGUAAUAAGGAGGAUGCGAGCGUUAUCCGGAUUUAUUGGGUUUAAAGGUUGCUUAGGUUGUGUUUUAAGUCAGCGGUUGAAGUUUGUGGGUCAACCAUAAAAUUGCCGUUGAAACUGGAAGACGUGAGUGUGUUUGAGGUAGGCGGAAUGCGUGGUGUAGCGGUGAAAUGCAUAGAUAUCACGCAGAACUCCGAUUGCGAAGGCAGCUUACUAAGCCAUAACUGACACUGAAGCACGAAAGCGUGGGGAUCAAACAGGAUUAGAUACCCCUGUAGUC
RNAcentral lists this ribosomal RNA (460 nucleotides) under uncultured bacterium. RNAcentral describes it as "partial 16S ribosomal RNA". It matches the Rfam family "Bacterial small subunit ribosomal RNA", at positions 338 to 795 of the family's 1533-position model. The record is from RNAcentral.